GUCCCUUGAGGGACAUCCGAUAAAAAUUGGAACGAUACAGAGAAGAUUAGCAUGGCCCCUGCGCAAGGAUGACACGCACACACAUCAGGAAAUAUACCCUAAA
Molecule: small nuclear RNA, 103 nt
Organism: Triticum dicoccoides
Lineage: Eukaryota; Viridiplantae; Streptophyta; Magnoliopsida; Poales; Poaceae
Source: RefSeq, a predicted model, not a curated record